This is a long non-coding RNA of Salvia hispanica, 550 nucleotides long. RefSeq lists it as uncharacterized. The record is from RefSeq and is a predicted model, not a curated record. NCBI's taxonomy places the organism in Eukaryota, Viridiplantae, Streptophyta, Magnoliopsida, Lamiales, Lamiaceae.
AUUCUGCAGAAAGCCGUCAAGAUGAGAGUGGGGGCUUCUCCUUCUCAAUUUAUCCUCUCUGCUUUUGCGACUUUAGCUAUUCUCGCCUUGCUCGUUUUUUACGCUUUUAAGGGAGAGUUGUCCAUCUCUGAUAUCGCAUUUCUUGUUUUCUUAGUUGGAGGGUUUUCGUAUACGACGGUAGAGAUUGGAUUAAUGUUAUGGGGACCGAGCACAAAGGAGUCAGCGGAGAGCAGCCCGUUAUUAGGUGAGAGAGUACAAUCAUGUGCUGUGGACAUUCUAAAGGGAUCACAAGAGACCCAAUCAUUACCAUAGAUCACGUCGCUAGAGCAUGCACAACGCGGACGCUAAUUCAAGUACAGCAUAGUCGGAUCGCAGUUACGUACGGUGCAAUUCACGGAAAUGAAAGUAGUACAAUGUUGGGAAUAGUCGGGUUUUUUUCCUUUUAUUUAUUUUUAGGUUUAAAAUUAUAUGUGAUUGUGUUUUCGACUAGCUGGUAGUCUAUUUGAAAUUAAACUAUGAUUUCAAUGUAUAAAUUUCAGUAUAAAGUACA